This 253-nucleotide ribosomal RNA is filed under the name uncultured bacterium. RNAcentral's name for it is "partial 16S ribosomal RNA". It matches the Rfam family "Bacterial small subunit ribosomal RNA", at positions 524 to 776 of the family's 1533-position model. The record is from RNAcentral.
UACGUAGGGUGCGAGCGUUAAUCGGAAUUACUGGGCGUAAAGCGUGCGCAGGCGGUUUUGUAAGACAGAUGUGAAAUCCCCGGGCUCAACCUGGGAACUGCGUUUGUGACUGCAAGACUCGAGUGCGGCAGAGGGGGGUGGAAUUCCACGUGUAGCAGUGAAAUGCGUAGAGAUGUGGAGGAACACUGAUGGCGAAGGCAGCCCCCUGGGUCGACACUGACGCUCAUGCACGAAAGCGUGGGGAGCAAACAGG